UUAAAGGACAAAAGCGGUUUUAGAUACACAAAACAUUUAUAAAGCCAGUAAUGGUGAAAGAAACUUGUUUAGAAUAAAAAUAGUACUGAGAAGGAAAGCAAUUAGUCGAUAAAGAGAAGGAGUAUAAUUCUGUACCUUUAGCAUCAUGGUUUAGCUAGAUUUUAUUCUUAUACAAAGAUUCCUCGAAAUCUAAUGAGCUAUUUUUAACUAAUAUCUUAGAUAUAUUAAAGUGGUUGUGGCAGAAACUUUUUAAAAGUUAAAAAUAGAAAUGAGAUUUUAUUCGUAUUAGAUGAUAGCUAGUUCUUCUUUAAAGACAUAUAAGUGUUGUGGGCCUGAUUGGUAAUAUAGGAAGCUUCCUAUGGAACAGAUGGUCUGAUUAAGUUUCUGAGGACAAGCUCAUAAACACUAACAGGGCUGUAUUUAAAUGCUGCUAACUAAAUUUAGGCUUGGAGAUGGCCACAGUAGAUGAUUUUGUUAUAAUUUCAUUAUUUUAAAGAGCAUAGAAUAGGUAUACAUAGCUUAAAAGAAGAAAGUUUUUAAUCCAUGACAGAAUAAAUCGUAUGCUAAAAUGAGUAUCAAUUGCCUUGCUUGUCUUAGUCCACUUAAAUGGAUAGACUAUAAAAAGGAUAAGAAUUUUAAAUCGAAAAAAGGAACUCGGCAAAUCUUUAUUCCGCCUGUUUAUCAAAAACAUGGCUCUUCGUCUGCUCUUUAUGGAGAGUCGGACCUGCUCGGUGAAUAGUUUUAACAGCCGCGGUACUCUGACCGUGCAAAGGUAGCAUAAUCAUUUGCCUUAUAAUUGAAGGCUAGUAUGAAUGGUUUGACGAGAAUAAAGCUGUCUCUUUUCGAUUAAAUACAAUUUUAUCUAUAGGUGAAGAAGCCUAUAUUUCACUGAAAGACAAGAAGACCCUGUCGAGCUUUAAACAAUUUAGUAAGUCAAUAACAUACUCGUAAAAGAAUUGAAUUACUAAGGAUUUUGGUUGGGGCGACUAAGGAACAGAAAUAGCUUCCUUUGCUACUUAAGGGCUCGCUAGCAUUGAUCCAGGACUUCUGAUUAAAGGAAUUAGUUACCGCAGGGAUAACAGCAUAAUCUUCUUUGAGAGCUCUCAUCGAAAAGAAGGCUUGUGACCUCGAUGUUGGACCAGAAUUUCCGAAAGAUGUAGCCGUCUUUAAAGGUUGGUCUGUUCGACCAUUAAAAUUCUACGUGAUCUGAGUUCAGACCGGCGUGAGCCAGGUCAGUUUCUAUCUUCAGUUAAUAAAAUAGCUUUAGUACGAAAGGACCAAGCUAUUGUAAAAAUUUACUUAUGAUGAUUAAAUCUAAAAGACAAUUAAGUAUAUCACUUG
This 1341-nucleotide ribosomal RNA is filed under the name Drupa morum. RNAcentral's name for it is "large subunit ribosomal RNA". It matches the Rfam family "Bacterial large subunit ribosomal RNA". Lineage: Eukaryota; Metazoa; Mollusca; Gastropoda; Neogastropoda; Muricidae. The record is from RNAcentral.